AGAGUUUGAUUCUGGCUCAGGAUGAACGCUGGCGGCGUGCUUAACACAUGCAAGUCGAACGAAGCAGCUUCUGCUGCAAGAAAGCUGACUUAGUGGCGGACGGGUGAGUAACGCGUGGGUAACCUGCCUCAUACAGGGGGAUAACAGUUGGAAACGACUGCUAAGACCGCAUAACCCGCUAGUGUCGCAUGACACGGACGGAAAAUAUUUAUAGGUAUGAGAUGGGCCCGCGUCUGAUUAGCUAGUUGGUAAGGUAACGGCUUACCAAGGCGACGAUCAGUAGCCGACUUGAGAGAGUGAUCGGCCACAUUGGGACUGAGACACGGCCCAAACUCCUACGGGAGGCAGCAGUGGGGAAUAUUGGACAAUGGGGGAAACCCUGAUCCAGCGAACCGCCGCGUGAGUGAAGAAGUAUUUCGGUAUGUAAAGCUCUAUCAGCAGGGAAGAUAAUGACAGUACCUGACUAAGAAGCCCCGGCUAACUACGUGCCAGCAGCCGC
RNAcentral lists this ribosomal RNA (499 nucleotides) under uncultured bacterium. Its description in RNAcentral is "bacterial SSU rRNA". It matches the Rfam family "Bacterial small subunit ribosomal RNA", at positions 8 to 518 of the family's 1533-position model. The record is from RNAcentral.